CAAAGACCCCACUGAGUACCAAAGAUCCCACUGAGUACCAUAGACCCCACUGUGUACCAAAGACCCCACUGCAUACUAAAGACCCCACAGGCUACCAAAGACCCCAUUGGCUACUAAAGACCCCAAUGGCUACCGAAAUUCCCAUAGGCUAUCAAAGACCCCACAGGCUACCAAAGACCCCAUAGGCUACCAAAGACCCCAGUGAGUACCAAAGACCACAUAGUCUACAAAACACCUCAUAGGCUACAAAGGACUCCUCUGAGUACCAAAGACCCUAUAGGCUACGAAAGUCCCUACAAGCUAUCAAAGACCACAUAGGCUCCCAAAGACCCCACAGGCUACCAAAGACCGCAUAGGCUAUCAGACACCCACAGAGUACCGAAGACCCCACUGAGUACCAAAGACUCUACUGAGCAUUAAAGUCCCCACUGAGUACCAGAGACCCCAUCUGGCUAAAAUGAAUUAAAGUCUUGAGAUGCCUAAAAGCCCUACAGCCAAAAAUUCCUAUAGUUCCAAGAAGAAAUAAUGAAAUAAAAAGAUGAUGAGUGGAGAGAAGAAAACCCAGACCUCUAGCUUUUUCUUUCUUUCUUUUGUAUUUCUUUUCUUUUGUUUUAUUUCAUCCCUAACAAUACUGAAAUCUCAAUCAUUAGAUGAAUAUAAACCAUUAAAUUCACCCUUCAGGAAGCUGAUGUGUAUAUCCUGAUCACUAAGCCUUAGAUAUCCCUCUCAUUUUGAGUUGUCUAAAUAGAGAGAAAGAAAGAGUGGAUUGAUUUAUUCCCAGUAUUUUAGCAAAAAUUUAUCAUAUUCCACUAGAAACGCUAUUGAGUGUGCACUUCACAUUCUUUUUGUAUUUUAAUGUGAGUACUAUCACACUGAAAUGGAUUACAACUCACCAUAUUUCUAUUUCUUGUUCUAUUCAGUACCUGUGAUUCACUUAUCCAUAACAAUUAACAAUAUUUAUGGAAGUAGACACACAAACCCCCUUUCGUUGUUAUAUUGUUGUAAAAACUAUUUUACAUGUUUUUUGGAGAAACCGAAUCGACCACAUAAGGUUACACGUUGGAAAAAAAUUAUUUUAGUAGACAGCCUAAUUCUAUUAUUUGAUACAAUGUCUCCUUUGAUGAAAUGGUUUUUUUUUUAAUUGCAAUUAUGUAAUUGACCAAUAGGGGGCAAAAUUGCAUAAAAAACAUGCAUUAGGCUAUAGUGCAUUGAACAGGAAAUUGUAAAUCACAAUAAAUAAAUAAAUAAAUAAAUAAAUAAAUAAAAAUCUGUUUGAGUGAGUAAUUAGGUUGAUAUGAG
Long non-coding RNA from Ictalurus punctatus (channel catfish), 1299 nucleotides. The record is from Ensembl. NCBI's taxonomy places the organism in Eukaryota, Metazoa, Chordata, Actinopteri, Siluriformes, Ictaluridae.